AUUGAACGCUGGCGGCAGGCCUAACACAUGCAAGUCGAACGAGUGGCGGACGGGUGAGUAAUGUCUGGGAAACUGCCUGAUGGAGGGGGAUAACUAUUGGAAACGGUAGCUAAUACCGCAUACCAUCGGAUGUGCCCAGAUGGGAUUAGCUAGUAGGUGGGGUAAAGGCUCACCUAGGCGACGAUCCCUAGCUGGUCUGAGAGGAUGACCAGCCACACGGGGACUGGGCCACGGUCCAGAAUCCUACGGGAGGCAGCAGUGGGGAAUAUUGCACAAUGGGCGCAAGCCAUAUGCAGCCAUGCCGCGUGUAUGAAGAAGGCCUGCGUGUUGUAAAGUACUUACAGCGGGGAGGCGUUACCCGCAGGAGAAGCACCGGCUAACUCCGUGCCAGCCACCGCGGUAAUUC
Molecule: ribosomal RNA, 406 nt
Filed under: uncultured bacterium
Lineage: Bacteria
Description: partial 16S ribosomal RNA
Rfam family: Bacterial small subunit ribosomal RNA
Source: RNAcentral